This 888-nucleotide ribosomal RNA is filed under the name Triticum aestivum (bread wheat). Its description in RNAcentral is "partial small subunit ribosomal RNA". The record is from RNAcentral. Lineage: Eukaryota; Viridiplantae; Streptophyta; Magnoliopsida; Poales; Poaceae.
AUGCGGAUGAGCUGCAAUGGGUGCCGGGUGCUCCGCAAGGGGUGCGGCGAGGGCUGCACCAUCCGCCCCUGCCUGGAGUGGAUCCGGAGCGCCGACGCGCAGGCCAACGCCACCGUCUUCCUCGCCAAGUUCUACGGCCGCGCCGGGCUGCUCAACCUCCUCGCCGCCGACGGCCCCGGCCUCCGCCCGGCGCUCUUCCGCUCGCUGCUCUACGAGGCGUGCGGCCGCAUGGUCAACCCCGUCUACGGCUCCGUCGGCCUGCUCUGGUCCGGCCAGUGGGAGGCCUGCCAGGCCGCCGUCGAGGCCGUGCUCAAGGGCCGCCCCAUCGUCCGGGUCACCUCCGACGCGCCCCUCGCGGCGUGCGACAUCCGCCACGUCGCCAAGGCCGACCGCCCUGCCGCGUCUCCGGAGGCCGCCGCGGCGGCCGGCACGGUCCUCGGCGUCUCGCGCGCCGGGCGCACCGGGUUCAAGCGCGCGUCCUCCUCCACGGCCAAGCCCAAGUCCAAGAGCUUCUCCGGCGCCAAGCACGACGGUGGGCUCGACCAAGCGCCGAGCCACGAGGAGUCCGCCGGCAGCCACGACCACGGCAGCCACGUUGAAGACGACGGCAUGGCAGUCGAGCAGGCGAGGGAAGAAGAGUCGUCCGAGGGCACCGACGUUGACGCGGGCUCGCACGUGAGCCAAGCAGAGCGCAGCCCCGUGCCGCCGGUGGCCCAGGACGAGGAGGCACAUGACGACGAAAUCGGGCUGGAGCUGACGCUGGGGUUCCAGCAGGUCACCCCGCGCGUGGUGGCGAGGUCGCCGCCGGCAGGGGCACGCUUCGGCGCCAGCAGCUCGAGCGCCGAGUCCCGCCACAUCGGCCUGCUGCUUGAGCUGCCCGUGGCAUAG